This is a long non-coding RNA of Carya illinoinensis, 1306 nucleotides long. RefSeq lists it as uncharacterized. The record is from RefSeq and is a predicted model, not a curated record. The transcript has 6 exons. NCBI's taxonomy places the organism in Eukaryota, Viridiplantae, Streptophyta, Magnoliopsida, Fagales, Juglandaceae.
AUUAAACCACUAUAAGAAAAAGCCGUUUUACCGGCCAAAAUUACUUGCGGUGAGCAGCAAUUGGACGGCAGAAAUAUUAAAUUUACUGUGCCGUGUUUUUCUUCUGGAGAGCCAGGGAAGCCCCGCUAAAAAGACUAUUUGCGGCGAAGAUGUGUCGCCGCAAAAUGUCAUCAUAAAAAUCUCUUUAUUUCGCCCCGUUUCUUUUCCUCCGUUUCUUUUCCUUCUCUCCCUUUUCUCUUUUCCCCCAGCUCGAGACUCCCUCUAUAUUCUCUCUGAGUUUGCUGCUGCCCUUCCCAAGCCGUGUCGUCGCCAUCUCGCCGAGGAGGAUCUGCAGAAAGAGAAGAUUUGAUCAACGUAUGGAAGCGGUGACGGAAGAGAACUAGGGUUGGAUGCUCUGAUUUUGGUUCUGAAAUCGAUCUUGAUCCUCUCUAUAUAUGUUUGCCUUGUGAUCCUCUCUGAUUUUGGUUCUUGGUGACCUGAAUGAUAGAUAUAUAUCUUGGUGGUAGUAGAAGCUCAACAUUUUGAAGAUGCCAUCAGUGAUAAGAAGGAAAAUAUUACUCCGAUUGGCUUGAAGAUCGUGGUAAUUUAUGUAUUAUUUUGUUUAUGGAUUUGAUGAUCUGUGAUUUUUAUUUGCAGAAGAAGGAAAAUAUUACUCCGAUUGGCUUGAAGAUCGUGUUUUACGGAUUCUUGCCAUUUUAACGGUUCAGAUUAAUUCUAUCAGUUCCUCUUCUUCACCGUAUAUAGCCUCCACAAAGCUUAGAGAGAGAUUUCAGAGGAAAAGCCAUAGGCAGGUCAAUCUUAUCUCUCCGAUCCCCAAACCAAAGGCUGAGGAAGAGAAGAAGCCUCAGGAAAAAGAGACUCAAGCCUGAAGAGAAGAAAAAAGAGUGUCUUGUUCCUUCCUGAAACCUCCAAGACUCGACCUUUCUUCUCAAACCGUCUAUUGUAACAGAGAGCCAUGCCUUGAGGGAGAAGAGAGAGGUUACCGAGAGAAAAUCGUGGCUCGGAUUCCCUCAGCGUCGUCCCCGGAGAGGGGUGUUGUUGUUGGUGUUGGUGUUGCAGUGGUGGUGGGGUCGGGGGUGGCGUGGGCUAGAGUCCAUCGAUGCCUUCUAAGAUGCUUCAAAAACACACGGAGAGAGAGAGCGAGAGCUCUGAAGAAGAAGGAGAAGAAGAGAGAAUAUGGGGCAAAGAGAUGAGAUGAGACUGUUACUUUUUAAUAAUUCAAUAAUUCAAUAGCUCUUCCUUUUUAAUAUAUCUAUAUAUACACACGCGCAUAUGUGUGCGUGUACGUGCGUUAAUUAUUCUAUCA